RNAcentral lists this unclassified non-coding RNA (799 nucleotides) under Hevea brasiliensis (rubber tree). Lineage: Eukaryota; Viridiplantae; Streptophyta; Magnoliopsida; Malpighiales; Euphorbiaceae. The record is from RNAcentral.
CUCGACUGGGUCGUGCCUCUUCUCGAUACGGCCCAUCAGCGACUGCUGCUGUGUUCAACGGCCCUGUGAGGAAAUGGAGGAAGAAGUGGGUCCACGUGUCCCCAUCUUCCACCGUUAGUCACCACAACUCCCACCCCCAUUCCAACGGCCACACCAAUAACAGCUCUCGUCUCCUCCUUUGUCGGUGGACUCCUCUUUCCCCCGCCGCCGCUGCCGAUGCCUCCUCCUCCGAGGAGCCUCCCAAACGCAAGUUCCGCUACACUCCGAUUGCGGUGCUAGAAGAACGGAGGAAGGCCGCCAAAAAGGUUGAUCAUGAAGCUAAGGCAGGCAGUAUCAACCAGUUCACAGAACUGCCAACCUCAAAGAACGAUGAGCAAACUAGUGACACUGCUUUGAAGACUGAAACACAGGAUUCGAGCACAAGUAAUCUGGAUUUGGGCUUGUGCUUGAAAGGCCACAAUGGUGACCAUGAUAAUAACCUUGGCCAGAGCAAAGAGGGUGAAAUGAAGAAAGCAAGCGCCGGUGGGUUUUGGACGACUAGUUGACACCCAGCAGACCCUUAAAACAGAAGAAGCUGGUUAGGUAUGCACUGGUAUGAAGUCUCAAUUGGGCGACUCAUUUUGAUGAUUAUGGCGAACGAUACAGUUUAUGUUGUAGAAGAAGCAACAUUGCUUCAUCUUGUAAUUGAUUGUAGGGCAUGUCUGCAGUUACUAGAUGAAUGUUUUAUGUCAAUUAAUGGCAUUUGUACGCAAUGGAAAACCAUCUGAUCCUAAACUGUAUCGUUCGCCAUAAUCAUCAA